CCCUUAGAUGUUCUGGGCCGCACGCGCGCUACACUGAUACGUUCAACGAGUCCAAAACCUUGAUUGAUAGGUCUGGGUAAUCUUUUGAAGACGUAUCGUGCUAGGGAUAGAUUAUUGCAAUUAUUAAUCUUGAACGAGGAAUUCCUAGUAAACGCAAGUCAUCAGCUUGCAUUGAUUACGUCCCUGCCCUUUGUACACACCGCCCGUCGCUCCUACCGAUUGGGUGUGCUGGUGAAAUGUUCGGAUCGGCCGUUUGUCGCGGUUUCCGCGUCAUGUGGCUGAGAAGUUCAUUAAACCCUCCCACCUAGAGGAAGGAGAAGUCGUAACA
RNAcentral lists this ribosomal RNA (328 nucleotides) under uncultured eukaryote. RNAcentral describes it as "partial 18S ribosomal RNA". It matches the Rfam family "Eukaryotic small subunit ribosomal RNA", at positions 1470 to 1796 of the family's 1831-position model. The record is from RNAcentral.